UAAUAGCUUAAGUCGGCUAGGAGGCACGAUAUUUCGAAUUUUUCCGAAGUCAAACCGCAAGGUAAAACCUUAGGUCGAUGUUCUUUUAAAUUCAGUAUUCAAUAAUCAUAUCUGACGCUAUAUAAUCAGUUACAGCAUCGUUAGCCCAUUAGAGCACAGUGGCAAAUUGGCGUCAUCAGCUUUAACACUGAAAAACUUAGCAUUUUUCUCACAGUGCAUUUACGCUUUCUUACUCUUACAAUAAAGAACGAUCUUUUUUUUAAUUAGUCCUAGUGAUGAUUAUUUUCCUGUUGAGGCAGGAGCUACAUUUCCAAAUGAGAUUAGAGACACGGUAGUAAAUAUUUCGCUUACAAUCUUCUGAAAUGUGACGCAGUGUAGUGUGACGGCGGGAAUCAUUCGAAAAGUUAACGCCUACUUAUUCUACCAGGCUACACGUCGUCACAUUACAGAAGGACGUAGUCCUGAAUUUUUAAAAUAUUCAGACGAAUUUCAGGCUUCAUGAUUAAAUUUACCAGGAACUAAGACACUGAAUUUGUUCAGUACACGUGUGUUAACUUCAUAUUUGUUUUCUUUCAGAUUCCAUUGUUUUGUGGAGAAGUUUCCUUCCCUGUUCUGGGGAGUAGUGAAGGAAGAUUAAGAAUCGUAUAAUGCAACUAUACAACGUUAAUUGGCAUGCGUGAUCACGCAGAGAUAACCUGGAAUUUGACAUUUAUAGUCGUAAAUAUUUCAUUAAUCCGCAGAGGAGAAAGGAUUUUACUGUUAUAAAAGGAACAGACUGAAUACUGAAUUGGCGGAAGACUUAAAAGACACCAGGGCCUAUACUAACUUAUCCCGUUAGUACAGUUCUGCUGACCAUCCUGCGGUGAGAAUGUAGCGAUUCUACACGACUGGUGCAUUUGAAAAACCGCCGCUAAGUGAAGUCAACUAACAAGAGGAUCCAGCAAAUAAGUCUUCUCAGACAGAAACUGCGUUUCUGCCUUCAGCGUGCUGCAGGGCUUUACUGGAUACACGGAGGUCUAGAACUCCAUUCUCAUUAUCUUAAAUAAUUUUUUUCAUUGGAAAUGCAUUUUCAAACAUAAGGAAUCUAAUGAGAGUAGAAUUAGUGAAGCCAGAGUUUUGUGUAAGAAUGCUGGCAAUAGUGGCAAGAAUUUUACAAAUUUGUUAGUAGCCCAGCUCAAGUGUCGUUAUUCCCAAAUCCGGUAAUUAAAAAGAACUAGAUAUAUUUAAUCGCAAACAACAAUCAAAGGAAGACAAAAGAAAAGGAAUGAUCUUUGAUUAUACUACUGUAACUGAGGAAAAAAAUAGAAACAUUUUUAUGCGUGUUACAUAAUGACGUAUUUUAUUACACUAUCAGAAUUAAAUAAAGAAUUACGUAAU
Molecule: long non-coding RNA, 1377 nt
Organism: Cryptotermes secundus
Lineage: Eukaryota; Metazoa; Arthropoda; Insecta; Blattodea; Kalotermitidae
Exons: 2
Source: RefSeq, a predicted model, not a curated record